Molecule: non-coding RNA, 32 nt
Organism: Geobacillus stearothermophilus
Lineage: Bacteria; Bacillati; Bacillota; Bacilli; Caryophanales; Anoxybacillaceae
Source: Rfam
CUCUGUUUCGAUGAGAUACAGGGCGGAAGGAG